RNAcentral lists this non-coding RNA (22 nucleotides) under Arabidopsis thaliana (thale cress). The record is from RNAcentral. Lineage: Eukaryota; Viridiplantae; Streptophyta; Magnoliopsida; Brassicales; Brassicaceae.
UUAAAACUUUCUGUUGCACCUG